CACCCCCUCACACCCUCCUCAGCUCCAUUGCACCCACUCCCAGCCCCACAUAUCUCCCCCCAGCCCCACAGGGACACCAAGGCGCAACUCCGCAGCCCAUGGCACAGCCGGUCCAUGGGACCCCCGCACCCCUCCAACGCCCGGCGCUCACCCGGGGGCCGCGGGGAAACUGAGGCACGUCCCAGACCGCCCGGUACUCACGGGGGGGGGCCCAGGGGGGCGCGGGAGGGGGCGCGGGGCUCUUGGCGAAGAUGCCGCUGAUGAACUUGAGCAUCUUGCGGUCGCGGGUGGAGGCUCGGCCGCCUUCGCGCCCCCGUUUGAGCCCCGUCUCGGUACCAGCGGCACCGGGGGGGGCAGCGGGAGCCGGGACCGGAGCCAACCCCCCCGCUACCGGGGGCAGGUCGCUGUAAUCCAGGGUCUUGCUUUUGCCUUUGUGCGGGGAGAACCGACCCCGUCCCGACGGCCGCGGCCCCACCUCGGGUCCCACUUUGCCCCCCCCGGCUUUGGGCCGCCCCUUGCCCUCGCCCUCGGGCCACGAGAGGCGGCUGCCCCCGGCCCCGCUCCCGGUCGCCUUCAGGGGCCCUUUGGUCGCCUUCAGGGGGUCCCCGGGGGUCACCACUUUAAACGGCUUCGUCCCGGUCAAGCGGAGCCGGCGGGGCCCGGCCGAGGGGUGCGGGGAGGACACGGGGUGCGGGGGGGGUUUGGCCACCUCCGGGGUCACCUCGGGGCACCCCCAUGUUGCCUGGGCCAGCAGCGGGGGGCGCGGGGUCGCCAGGGCGGGGGGGGUGCGGCCCCGCUCCCCUGUUGCCUCCAAGGUGCCCUUGGACACCCCUCGGGGAGGGGGGUCGGGUUUUGGGGGUACGGCGGGGGGGAGGGAGGCCGCGGGGGGUUUCGGGGGUACGGCGGGGGGCAGCGGGAGCGAAGCCGGGUCCGGUUUGGGGGGGACAAGCGGGGGUUGUGGGGGGGGAAGAGACGCCGGGUCGGGCUUGGGGGGUACAACCGGGGGGGGGGGCAGCAGGGUCGGGUCGGGUUUUGGGGGUACGACGGGGGGGGUGGAGGUGGGAGAACGGGGCCGGCGGGAGGCGGCGGCGGCGGCGGGGCGGG
This 1104-nucleotide long non-coding RNA is filed under the name Strigops habroptila (Kakapo). RNAcentral describes it as "lncRNA (ENSSHBG00005020332.1)". Lineage: Eukaryota; Metazoa; Chordata; Aves; Psittaciformes; Psittacidae. The record is from RNAcentral.